RNAcentral lists this ribosomal RNA (253 nucleotides) under uncultured bacterium. RNAcentral's name for it is "partial 16S ribosomal RNA". It matches the Rfam family "Bacterial small subunit ribosomal RNA", at positions 524 to 776 of the family's 1533-position model. The record is from RNAcentral.
UACGUAGGGUGCAAGCGUUGUCCGGAAUUAUUGGGCGUAAAGAGCUCGUAGGCGGUCUGUCGCGUCGGCUGUGAAAACCCGGAGCUCAACUCCGGGCCUGCAGUCGAUACGGGCAGACUGGAGUUCGGCAGGGGAGACUGGAAUUCCUGGUGUAGCGGUGAAAUGCGCAGAUAUCAGGAGGAACACCGGUGGCGAAGGCGGGUCUCUGGGCCGAUACUGACGCUGAGGAGCGAAAGCUAGGGGAGCAAACGGG